ACGUAAUAUAAAAGUAGAAUGAUACACAAGUGACGGGGUAAUUGCAAAAGAUCUAAUCUUAAAAUAUGGCGUCACUUAAUGGUCUUAAUCCACUACACCGGUAUUUUCGAGAACUUUCUUUAGAAAGUAUAAUUCAAUAGAGUUUUAAGAAAGAUGCUUUAAAACUAAGCACACCAAAAGGGAAUAAUGUAAAGAUACUUCGCCAAAUAUAACAAAUCGUGUUUUCCUGAGUUACUCCUAACAAAAAUUAUCACUCAAGAAAUACGUAUGUAAGCGAAGACGUUGUCUAAAGUGCUUUUUGAACGGUGUCAUUCUAACACCAUGUCGUUAAAAGUGAAAUAUCUUCCAUUGCCUCACAAAAGUUUCCGUAGAUUACGUAUAAUUUCGCAUUGGUGUGAAGGUUGCGUUAAAAUCCGAGGUAAAUUCCAUCCGUUGUACAUUUGUCCACAUAGCUACUUCUACCUCCUCGAGAGAAUCUUAUUAAGUUCAUUUAACGCUAAUAAAACUAUUAUUUCGAUGCAUAAACGUCAGGAAGAAAGUUAACUCCUGAAAGAAAAAGUCUUAGACUUACUAUUAAAUAAUAAAUUUAACUGGAAAUAGCCCUAUUACCUUCAAGGGAAACACUUAAAACAAUUCUCAUCUAAAUUCGAACAGAUCUACAACCAAAAAUAUUUUAGUAAAUAUAAAUAUGAGGCAAAAAGAGCUCUAGUUUUUUUUUGUUAAAUAUAUAUAUCAAUUUUCAUUUUAAAUGCGCUGUGAAAAACAACGCGAACAAUUUUGUGAUAAUGAAAGAGAACUUUAUCAAUGUCGACAAUGUGUUGUUUAUUUCGUUCCGCACCAUCUGAACAGUUUCAUUAAGGAUAUUUUUAUCUAGUGAAAACACAAGAUUUGCUCAAUUAUCGCCCUUCUUUUAUUUAAUGUAUUAAUUACACUUGAUUGUAGCAAUUUUUACUUUGCGGUAAAAUAAUGAUCUCAAACAUAGAUCAUUUUCUCACAUAAAACUAGUAAAGAACCACAUGAGCUUUGAGAAUUAACAAUAACCAAAAUAGCAGGAGGGCAAAAAUAGGACUUCUGGAAGUUGUUACACAAGUUUAUGACAAAAAGAAAAUAUUUAUCGCCGGCGGCAAACACGUUCAUCUACUUUUAUUGUGUGACUACUCUUCUCAAAAUAACAAUAAUUUGAGUGAGGAAACCCAUCUUAUAAGUCAUAGCAUAUUCUAACAGCAUGAUAACAUGAUGCGUUUUGAAAGCAUAAAAAAACUCAAAUUUUUGGACAAAUUCCUCAUUGCAAUUCAUAGAUUCGUUAAACCAUUAACGACGUGUUACAAAUACAAAUCUAUGACGUCAAAUACUAUACAGCCGCUGAUCAUAAUGUGUUUUGAGCCUAAGAAACAAAUAGCAAGUUAAAUAUCAAUUGAAAGUGAUUUUCAUAUAUUUCUGUCGAAAAAUAAAAAAUUCUUACGAUCAAUAGCACUGGCAUUUUAAAUUAUCGUUGAAAGCUAGUUAUAGUUACUAUAAACAUUAAUAAAACAAGAUUCAGAUGAUAGAUAUAAACUGUUACACAACAAGUACUGAGACAGCCUUUCAGGCUUUUUAUAACAAAACUGAAAUGAAAGGGUUACGUAAAUAUAAAUAAUUAUAUGAAAUAAAGUUUUUUUCAAGUUAUUUAAUUUUUUUCUUCAAUCUUGGCGUGAAUGAUAGAUAGUUUCGUGAUGUUUAAUCUAGGAUUAAUGAAGAUCAGCACACGAACAAUAUUAUAUCCCAUAGCAAUUGUUCAAUCAAAUAUUUUACUGCAGAUUGAUUUUUACUGAAAGGGAAAAUGCUAAAGCUAUUCAAUGUAAUCAAAGAACGACAGGAUGUUAGAUAAAUAUAAGAAGACGAUUAUACUUAACCAAAUACUUUCUUAAUGGUUCUCUAAAUUAUAGAUAAGAAUUUCCUUAUGGUGUUUUAAAAAAUGAAUAAUCUCAAUCGAUUUUUUUCAUUUCAUUAAAAUAUUUUGAUGCAAACAAAAAAAUUUCCCUAGAAUGUGAAAGGAAAACUGAUAUAGAAUGAUCUAAAUGCACUUCAAUUAAAAAUACAAUUUAGUAGUUACGUGUACACGAUAUUGAGAGUUAAUAAAACCACAGACAUUUUGUCUAGAAAGAAUUAAUUUGAUACAAAAGCAUUCUUUGUGAGCAUGUAAUUUUUAGCAUAUUGAGCACACAGAGUAGGUUAGCACUACUUAAUUAUCUUUAAAACACAUAAGGUACAGUCACGCAAAAUCAAAAACACGCAAGAAUUUAAGUUUAGAAGAAUAAAAGCUGGUAUAUAAUUAAAUAACCAUGAAAUAUAAUCUAUUUUUGACUCGCGACUAUGAUUGCAUAAUCUAUCGUCGUAAAAGUAAAUGCUUUAAUUCUACACCCUCGUCAUAAACAUAGACGACAGGUGAGAUCAAGUGAUCUUGUCUAUGAAUAAUGGAUUUUCAAACAGCACUAAAAAUUGUUUCAACAGAAAAAACGUUAAUAUUUUUCUUUAACGAUAAGAAAUUUUAUAUCUAUCUUAUAAUAGAUUGCACGCAAUGUCAAAAGAGAGAUCGCCACGUCAAUAUUAUCAAUUUAGAUACUUAUCAGCGUGCAAGACCAUUACCACAGCUUCGUAUUAAGAGGCUAAUUUGAGUAUUCGUUGUUAUGGAAAGUUUGACAUACAGGCAGUUUUCACUGAUAUGGAAAACAAAUAAAGAGCCAAAUGUCUCAAUUUCGAAAACUAGUUUUGACUUUUGAGGAACUCUAUAAGUUGAUUUGAAGUCAACGGCAAUCUUUGGACGUUCAAAUCAUAAGUGUUUAAAAUAACAUUCGUUCUGUGCUUUACUAAGCAUGUCAUUUAUUAUAUUGAGCAAUAAAAAUGUGGAGAAGAUUCUAUCCUGCAUUCCUUCAGGAAAUUAAACACUUUCUAGAAAAGAAUGCCGAGAAAAUACGUUGAACAAAAGAACAUAAAAUAGCAUUCUGAAUGACACGUUGAGGUUUAAAACCUUCUGUUAUCGUACGUAGACGUAACGUAACGAUUUUAAUCUUUAAAGAAAUUGUAUAUGUCAUUGAAGCUAUUCAUUCCUUAGACUUCUUUAAAGAAUUAUGUGCAAAAUGUCAAAGGUGUUUAUAGCAAAAAUGUUAUUUUUAGCACAGCUUUUAUCGCAGAACAAUAAAAAGGAUGGGCGAUACAUACACAAUAGCAUAAAUAUUGCAACAAUUUUGCUUCAAAUGCUUUUAUUCCCCUUUUGGCAAACCGCAAUAUACAAUGAGUUAGGUUAAAACACGAUAUUGUCGAAUGUAUGAGUUAGCUAAAUCGACUUCUCAAGUCAAGCGAGUAAUUUUCCUAUUCACUUCACACGUCACAAACAUGUUGACGACGUAAAUUUAAAUUACUUCAUGUAGUGUGACAUGAAAUAAAACAUUCGCAGACGGUAAUGAGGUUUUUCGACAAAUCUCCUUCUUUAAAAGUGAGCCUGACAACAACAACAACAACAUAACAGCGUUGAUGUGAUUCCUAGUGGUCCAGAUUGUUCUCGUUACAAUACUACGUCACGUGAGAUAUUCUACAUGCAAAGUCACACAUUUUAAAUGCUAAUUAUGAAGAAAUGAUGAUACAACAUUUGAGUAUUUUGGCAAACAGCACGCAUAGGAACAAACACAUUUAACAAAUACUUUCUUUCUCAACUAAAUGACCUUGGCCUUACGACAACUUCAUGCAUGAAUACCAUGGAUUUAUCACAUUGAACGACAGGUCAACAAAAAAUAAAAUGUUUGCGAAGUGGUUUUAAUGACGCCACCCCAUUGACAUUGUGACCUUCCAGAAAAAUUAUUGUUGAUUACAUCAAAGCAUGCAACGCAAGCUGUUCGUGAACAUAACGCGCCCACCUUCGUUUAUUUCUCAAGCAGCAAUAACAUGUGCACAAGAUCAAUCAACAACUAUCACAAAACGACAACAUUGACAAACAUAGAAAUGAGACCAGGUAUUUUCACAAAAUGGAGGUGAAAAGAGAUGAAUACGAUCGACAACAUGUUUUUGUAUAACAAUAUAUCGCAUAGGGAGAUAUGUCGUAUUGCUUUAAUUACUAUAAAGUCAACUUUUAAGUCAACACCAAAGACAUGCAGCUUGUAGGGGUUUCAUCCAUUUAUGUAAUAUAAUGACGUCAAUGGAAUGGUUAUAUUAUAUGGACGACGACUUUC
This is a long non-coding RNA of Xenia sp. Carnegie-2017, 4202 nucleotides long. RefSeq lists it as uncharacterized. Lineage: Eukaryota; Metazoa; Cnidaria; Anthozoa; Malacalcyonacea; Xeniidae. The transcript has 2 exons. The record is from RefSeq and is a predicted model, not a curated record.